This is an unclassified non-coding RNA of Macaca mulatta (Rhesus monkey), 148 nucleotides long. It matches the Rfam family "Metazoan signal recognition particle RNA". Rfam says of the family: The signal recognition particle (SRP) is a universally conserved ribonucleoprotein. It is involved in the co-translational targeting of proteins to membranes. Lineage: Eukaryota; Metazoa; Chordata; Mammalia; Primates; Cercopithecidae. The record is from Ensembl.
GUUGGGCAUGGUGGCGCGUGCCUGUAAUCCCAGCUACUUGGGAGGCUGAGACAUGAGAAUCACUUGAACCCAGGAGGCAGAGGGUUCAGUGAGCCGAGAUUGCAUCACAGCACUCCAGCCUGGGUGAAAGAGUGAGACCCUGUCUCAA